RNAcentral lists this long non-coding RNA (1229 nucleotides) under Mus musculus (house mouse). RNAcentral describes it as "long non-coding RNA chr15:4243677-4244906". Lineage: Eukaryota; Metazoa; Chordata; Mammalia; Rodentia; Muridae. The record is from RNAcentral.
UACCGGCUCGAGAUUUUAUAUAUAUAUAUAAAACAUCUUGUUUGAAACAAAUUUCAAUAUUUUACAGUCUUUCAGUAGACAUUAUAUGCACUGCACUUUAUGAAAUCUAAAGGGUAUUGAUAAAUCUUUCCAAUAUCUUGGUAACAAACCACACAAUGUUUCCCAAAUACUUGUGCUAUCUACAUGAUCUGUUUGCUCUGAUAACCACUAAUCACAAAAAUUGACUCGAUGGAAUAAUUAUGAAAAGUAUCUAACACCCUGCAUGGAUUUGAAUCAUGUUUAAUAUCCUAUCCUAGAAACAGUCUACAGAUCUUAAGAAUUAAAAAAAAAAUAAAUCUCUCCUCUGAUUUUUAAAAGAUAUCUUUUUAUGAUAAUAUCUGUAACAUUGACAAGUACAUGUUUUAAGGCCAGUAUCAUCUCCUUUUGUGAGUAUUUUUAUGUUCUCUCUUUGUUUUUCUAAGAAAGAUAAUAAAAUCCACACUCUUUUUUCUUUUUUGAACUGUACCAACAGAAAAUGAGUGCAGUGAACCUAACGUUCAAUGCUACAGUCAGGAUGCAGUCGCUCCUUCCCACUCCACUCCGUCUCUCCAUUGAGCAACACCCAAUGGGCCAAAACUGCAUUUUCGCCACAUACCGAAAUAACUAGUGAUGGAGUUUUUCAGGUGAUUGAGCUGUAACUACUGAUCUGCUAAGUUAUUCAAGAUUUCUGUGUUAAGUUCUACAAACUGAUAAUCUUCUUUGCCUUCAUCAUCUUUUACAAUUUCUGAGUUCUGAGUCUGGAGUGCUCUUCGUGGAAGGCAACCUCUGAUUCUCUGCAAAUGUGGUAUUGCAGCAGGCCACGAUCUUUCUGUGCAAGUUCUUUUUCAAGAGUCAGCUAAUUCAUCACGCCUGAAAAUGCUAGAUGAAAUAGUUUCUUUUGCACUGGAAGCACCCGUGAGGUCCACAUCUGAGGUAUUGGAUGAAUGAAGCAUGGAUUUCUUUAUGAGGCUAUUACUUAACAUUUUCUCUUUAUUGUAACCAAAGCUCUGUCUCAAGGUUAAAAAACUUUCAAGAAUAGAGAUCAGCGGUAUGUCAGCAGUUUAUCACCUUAGCCCAUUUCUGCCUAUGUCUACUGUAACCUUGGAUAUUCACCAGGCCUUCUGGAAGAGAAAGAAACUCUAACUUCUUUAUGCUUCACUGUGGAACUCCCUGCUUUUAUUUUUUCCUUCCUAUGAAAUGGGAAGUAAUAA